GUGAAUCAUCGAAUUUUUGAACGCAAAUUGCACUCUCUUCGGAGAGUAUGCCUGUUUGAGGGUCAGCCUAUAAAAAAUCGAAAUCGCUGCUGUUUCCCGGUGGCUUCCGUGGAAAUUGGGUCAUCUUAAACCUUUUGGUUUUAAGCGGCUUAAAAUUUUCUUUAUGAUUCUACUAACGUUUCUAAGAUUUAAUUACAUGUUUAAGUUAUGGAUUUUUUUUUGAUUUGACGUUUGCAUCAUAUCAC
This 245-nucleotide unclassified non-coding RNA is filed under the name Glomus sp. RNAcentral describes it as "partial contains 5.8S ribosomal RNA and internal transcribed spacer 2". The stretch from base 1 to 65 matches the Rfam family "5.8S ribosomal RNA", at positions 84 to 154 of the family's 154-position model. Lineage: Eukaryota; Fungi; Glomeromycota; Glomeromycetes; Glomerales; Glomeraceae. The record is from RNAcentral.